This 1502-nucleotide ribosomal RNA is filed under the name uncultured rumen bacterium. RNAcentral's name for it is "bacterial SSU rRNA". It matches the Rfam family "Bacterial small subunit ribosomal RNA". The record is from RNAcentral.
AGAGUUUGAUCUUGGCUCAGGAUGAACGCUGGCGGCGUGCUUAACACAUGCAAGUCGAACGAGGAACACUGAUGAAGUUUUCGGAUGGAAUCGGUAUUCCGAGUGGCGGACGGGUGAGUAACGCGUGGGUAACCUGCCCUGUACAGGGGGAUAACAGUUGGAAACGACUGUUAAUACCGCAUAAGACCACAGUGCCGCAUGGCACAGGGGUAAAAACUCCGGUGGUACAGGAUGGACCCGCGUCCAAUUAGCUAGUUGGUGAGGUAACGGCCCACCAAGGCGACGAUUGGUAGCCGAUCUGAGAGGAUGACCGGCCACAUUGGGACUGAGACACGGCCCAAACUCCUACGGGAGGCAGCAGUGGGGAAUAUUGGUCAAUGGGCGGAAGCCUGAACCAGCCAUGCCGCGUGCGGGAAGACGGCCCUACGGGUUGUAAACCGCUUCUGUGUGGGAGCAAUAAGGUGGCUUCGCGCCACUGAUGAGAGUACCAUACGAAUAAGCAUCGGCUAACUCCGUGCCAGCAGCCGCGGUAAUACGGAGGAUGCGAGCGUUAUCCGGAUUCAUUGGGUUUAAAGGGUGCGUAGGCUGUGCUCUAAGUCAGGGGUGAAAUACCGUCGCUCAACGUCGGGGCUGCCCUUGAUACUGGGGUGCUGGAGUGCGGAUGCCGUUGGAGGAAUGAGUGGUGUAGCGGUGAAAUGCAUAGAUAUUACUCAGAACACCGAUUGCGAAGGCAUCUCACGAAACAGGCAUUGACGCUGAGGCACGAAAGCGUGGGGAUCAAACAGGAUUAGAUACCCUGGGUAGUCCACGCAGUAAACGAUGAUGACUAACCGCUGGCGAUAUAGUGUCAGUGGCCAAGCGAAAGCGAUAAGUCAUCCACCUGGGGAGUACGACCGCAAGGUUGAAACUCAAAGGAAUUGACGGGGGCCCGCACAAGCGGAGGAACAUGUGGUUUAAUUCGAUGAUACGCGAGGAACCUUACCCGGGCUCGAACGGUGCAGGAAGGAUCUAGAGAUAGUGACGCCCUUCGGGGCCUGCAUCGAGGUGCUGCAUGGUUGUCGUCAGCUCGUGUCGUGAGAUGUUGGCUCAAGUGCCAUAACGAGCGCAACCCUUGCCGCCAGUUACCAUCAAGUGAAGUUGGGGACUCUGGCGGGACUGCCACCGUAAGGUGUGAGGAAGGCGGGGAUGACGUCAAAUCAGCACGGCCCUUACGUCCGGGGCGACACACGUGUUACAAUGACGCCUACAGAGGGAAGCCACCCGGCGACGGGGAGCAGAUCUCGAAAAGGCGCCUCAGUUCGGACUGGAGUCUGCAACCCGACUCCACGAAGCUGGAUUCGCUAGUAAUCGCGCAUCAGCCAUGGCGCGGUGAAUACGUUCCCGGGCCUUGUACACACCGCCCGUCAAGCCAUGAAAGCCGGGGGCGCCUGAAGUCCGCGACCGCAAGGAGCGGCCUAGGGCGAAACUGGUAAUUGGGGCUAAGUCGUAACAAGGUAGCCGUA